GUGGGGAAUCUUGCGCAAUGGGCGAAAGCCUGACGCAGCCAUGCCGCGUGAAUGAUGAAGGUCUUAGGAUUGUAAAAUUCUUUCACCGGGGACGAUAAUGACGGUACCCGGAGAAGAAGCUCCGGCUAACUUCGUGCCAGCAGCCGCGGUAAUACGAAGGGGGCUAGCGUUGCUCGGAAUUACUGGGCGGAAAGGGCGCGUAGGCGGACAGUUUAGUCAGAGGUGAAAGCCCAGGGCUCAACCUUGGAAUUGCCUUUGAUACUGGCUGUCUUGAGUACGGGAGAGGUGAGUGGAACUCCGAGUGUAGAGGUGAAAUUCGUAGAUAUUCGGAAGAACACCAGUGGCGAAGGCGACUCACUGGCCCGUUACUGACGCUGAGGCGCGAAAGCGUGGGGAGCAAACAGGAUUAGAAACCCGGGUAGUCC
This 425-nucleotide ribosomal RNA is filed under the name uncultured bacterium. RNAcentral describes it as "partial 16S ribosomal RNA". It matches the Rfam family "Bacterial small subunit ribosomal RNA", at positions 354 to 796 of the family's 1533-position model. The record is from RNAcentral.